AGAGUUUGAUCCUGGCUCAGGAUGAACGCUGACAGAAUGCUUAACACAUGCAAGUCGAUGGGGAAGUGGUGCUUGCACCAUGGUAACCAUGGCGGACGGGUGAGUAACGCGUAAGGGACUUACCUGCAGGACUGGGAUAACAGGGGGAAACUCCUGACAAGACCGGAUAAUGUCAUGGAGCUGCAUGGCUUUAUGAUGAAAGGAGACGCCUGCGGAGAGCCUUGCGUCCUAUUAGCUAGUUGGUGAGGUAAGGGCUCACCAAGGCGAAGAUAGGUAGCCGGCCUGAGAGGGUGGACGGCCACAAGGGGACUGAGAUACGGCCCUUACUCCUACGGGAGGCAGCAGUGGGGAAUAUUGGACAAUGGGGGCAACCCUGAUCCAGCAAUUCUGUGUGCACGAAGAAGGUUUUCGGAUUGUAAAGUGCUUUCAGCAGGGAAGAAGUAAGUGACGGUACCUGCAGAAGAAGCGACGGCUAAAUACGUGCCAGCAGCCGCGGUAAUACGUAUGUCGCGAGCGUUAUCCGGAAUUAUUGGGCAUAAAGGGCAUCUAGGCGGCCUGACAAGUCAGGGGUGAAAACCUGCGGCUCAACCGCAGGCCUGCCUUUGAAACUGUCAGGCUGGAGUACCGGAGGAGGUGGACGGAACUGCACGAGUAGAGGUGAAAUUCGUAGAUAUGUGCAGGAAUGCCGAUGAUGAAGAUAGUUCACUGGACGGUAACUGACGCUGAAGUGCGAAAGCCGGGGGAGCGAACAGGAUUAGAUACCCUGGUAGUGCACGCCGUAAACGAUGAGUGCUAGGUGUUAGACCCUUUCCGGGGUUUAGUGCCGCAGCUAACGCAUUAAGCACUCCGCCUGGGGAGUACGACCGCAAGGUUGAAACUCAAAGGAAUUGACGGGGGCCCGCACAAGCGGUGGAGCAUGUGGUUUAAUUCGAAGCAACGCGAAGAACCUUACCAGGUCUUGACAUCCCCUCUGACCACUCUAGAGAUAGAGUUUUCCUUCGGGACAGAGGUGACAGGUGGUGCAUGGUUGUCGUCAGCUCGUGUCGUGAGAUGUUGGGUUAAGUCCCGCAACGAGCGCAACCCCUAUUGUUAGUUGCCAUCAUUCAGUUGGGCACUCUAGCGAGACUGCCGGUAAUAAACCGGAGGAAGGUGGGGAUGACGUCAAAUCAUCAUGCCCCUUAUGACCUGGGCUACACACGUGCUACAAUGGCUGGUACAACGAGUCGCAAGCCGGUGACGGCAAGCUAAUCUCUUAAAGCCAGUCUCAGUUCGGAUUGUAGGCUGCAACUCGCCUACAUGAAGUCGGAAUCGCUAGUAAUCGCGGAUCAGCACGCCGCGGUGAAUACGUUCCCGGGCCUUGUACACACCGCCCGUCACACCACGAGAGUUUGUAACACCCGAAGUCGGUGAGGUAACCUUUUAGGAGCCAGCCGCCUAAGGUGGGAUAGAUGAUUGGGGUGAAGUCGUAACAAGGUAACC
This 1479-nucleotide ribosomal RNA is filed under the name uncultured bacterium. Its description in RNAcentral is "bacterial SSU rRNA". It matches the Rfam family "Bacterial small subunit ribosomal RNA". The record is from RNAcentral.